GGACUACAAGGGUUUCUAAUCCUGUUUGCUCCCCACGCUUUCGCGUCUCAGCGUCAGUAUCCGUCCAGAUAGCCGCCUUCGCCACCGGUGUUCCUCCCCAUAUCUACGAAUUUCACCUCUACUUGGGGAAUUCCGCCAUCCUCUCCGGUACUCGAGCCAUGCAGUUUCGGGCGCACUUCCUCAGUUAAGCUGAGGGCUUUCACACCCGACUUGCAAAGCCGCCUACACGCGCUUUACGCCCAAUAAUUCCGAACAACGCUUGCACCCUCUGUAUUACCGCGGCUGCUGGCAC
This 292-nucleotide ribosomal RNA is filed under the name uncultured bacterium. RNAcentral describes it as "partial 16S ribosomal RNA". The record is from RNAcentral.